Molecule: ribosomal RNA, 403 nt
Filed under: uncultured bacterium
Lineage: Bacteria
Description: partial 16S ribosomal RNA
Rfam family: Bacterial small subunit ribosomal RNA
Source: RNAcentral
GACGAACGCUGGCGGCGUGCCUAAUACAUGCAAGUCGAACGCAGUGGGGACGGGUGAGUAAAACGUGGGUAACCUCCCAUCAGAGGGGAUAACAGUUGGAAACAGGUGCUAAACCGCUACUGAUGGAUGGACCCGGGGGGGAUUAGCUAGUUGGUGAGGUAACGGCUCACCAAGGCCACGAUGCAUAGCCGACCUGAGAGGUGGAUCGGCCACACGGGGACUGAGACACGGCCCAGACUCCUACGGGAGGCAGCAGUAGGGAAUAUUCGGCAAUGGGCGAAAGUCUGACCGAGCCAUGCCGCGUGAGUGAAGAAGGUUUUCGGAUCGUAAAACUCUGUUGUUAGAGAAGCGGUAUCUAACCAGAAAGCCACGGCUAACUACGUGCCAGCAGCCGCGGUAAUUC